Non-coding RNA from Acanthosepion pharaonis, 113 nucleotides. Lineage: Eukaryota; Metazoa; Mollusca; Cephalopoda; Sepiida; Sepiidae. The record is from the annotation of a GenBank genome assembly.
UACAGUCAUAUCACGUUGAAAAGCCGAUUCUCGUACGAUCAUCGAAGUUAAGCAACGUCGAGCUUAGGCAGUACGUAGAUGGGCGACCGCUGGGGAAUACCACGUGCUGUAAG